Molecule: ribosomal RNA, 233 nt
Filed under: uncultured Lactobacillus sp.
Lineage: Bacteria; Bacillati; Bacillota; Bacilli; Lactobacillales; Lactobacillaceae
Description: partial 16S ribosomal RNA
Rfam family: Bacterial small subunit ribosomal RNA
Source: RNAcentral
CCCCAUAGUCUGGGAUACCACUUGGAAACAGGUGCUAAUACCGGAUAGAAAGCGGAUCGCAUGAUCAGCUUUUAAAAGGCGGCGUAAGCUGUCGCUAUGGGAUGGCCCCGCGGUGCAUUAGCUAGUUGGUAAGGUAAAGGCUUACCAAGGCGAUGAUGCAUAGCCGAGUUGAGAGACUGAUCGGCCACAUUGGGACUGAGACACGGCCCAAACUCCUACGGGAGGCAGCAGAA